This 72-nucleotide transfer RNA is filed under the name Chloroflexota bacterium. Its description in RNAcentral is "Chloroflexi bacterium (bioreactor metagenome) tRNA-Asn". It matches the Rfam family "tRNA". Rfam says of the family: Transfer RNA (tRNA) molecules are approximately 80 nucleotides in length. The record is from RNAcentral. Lineage: Bacteria; Bacillati; Chloroflexota.
UGGGAUGUGGCCGACUGGUAAGGUACCUGUCUGUUAAACAGGGUGAUGUUGGUUCAAAUCCAACCGUCCCAG